GGGCGCAUGGUCUAGAGGUAUGAUUCUUCUUUAGGGCUUGACUUUAAAAGUGAAAUCCAUAGAAGAGGUCCUGGGUUCGAUUCCCAGUGCGCCCC
Molecule: transfer RNA, 95 nt
Filed under: Malassezia vespertilionis
Lineage: Eukaryota; Fungi; Basidiomycota; Malasseziomycetes; Malasseziales; Malasseziaceae
Rfam family: tRNA
About the family: Transfer RNA (tRNA) molecules are approximately 80 nucleotides in length. Their secondary structure includes four short double-helical elements and three loops (D, anti-codon, and T loops).
Source: Rfam by way of RNAcentral